AGCUCGAUCGUCUGUGGAGAGAGCAUCGAGAGAGCAUCGUGAGAGCAUCGUUACAAAGUAUUGUGGCUCUCUCCUCUCUCUCUCUCUCCCUCUCUCCUUUACUUUCGAUCUUCAUCAUCGUCAUCGUCAUAUUUGGACAUCUUCUACCAUAACGGGAGUCAGCGAGAAGGAAGAGCCAUGAUCUACCAACGGUGUUAACACGAUAAACAAAGAAGAAGGAAGGAAGGAAGGAAGGAAGGAAUCAAAAUGAUUCAUCUAUCUAAUCGGAGCUGUUCCUAUUAUUUUUUCUGUCGCAGAUCAAUCAAACUACUCACUUGGAGAAUACUAUUAAAAUGGUUAACUGUCGGGGAUCAACAAACUUCAAGGAAGGGAAGUCAACAGGACUACUAUUUAACUGGGGAUCAUUAGGAGCCAAUCAAGGAUGCAGAAUCAACCGGGUGCAGCUACAACUCUAAUCGAUAAUUAUACUUAUAAUGGUUAAUUAAUUAUUCGAAAAGAAGAAGAUGAAGAAACAAGAAGAAAAAAAAGAAGAAAAAGAAGAAUAAGAAUAAUAAUAAGAAGAAGAAGAAAAAUACUCAAGAUUGUAUUACAUCGAAUUCAAAGAAGAUAAUAGAAAUGAUCGAGAUGAUAAUCAAGAAGAUUAACAAAGACUGUUCCAGAUCAGAAGUGAAUUGUUUAAUAUUCCGAAUAAUAAUUUCUCUGAAAGUAUACUAUGGGAACAUUUAUUUAACGGGAAGCUAUGAAUUUCAUCAUGCUCAAUGACCGAUCUCUUUUCUCGUUGUUGUUAUUAUUGUUGUUGUUGUUAUCGUCACCGUUAAUGUUACAUUAGACUGAAACAAAUUUUCAUUUCCAAGAAAAAUAUCGAAAAUUAAUAAUCAUGGAAACAACAUGUAUUUGACAAUGGUGUGGAUGCUUGGAAAUAAUCAAAGACAAUAAUCCGUUAGAAAAAGUCACAGAGGCAUCGCGAAAAUACAAUUUUUAAUGAAAUAAUCAAAUCUAGAGUCGAUACGCAAAUCGAAGUUAAUUGAUACAAAUUGAUUAAAAAAAAUUACAUCGAAAAAUAAAGGAAUAAAUAUCUGAGGAAUCGUUGACCAUACGAAAAGAAAAAAUAUGGUUCAUUAAUGAAAAUCAAAUCAAAUCAAAUUCCAAAGUAAUAUCAAAAGAGAAUCAAAGAAACUAACAUAGCAAAAAUACAAAAAAAAGGAAGCUAGUAGAUCCAACUUUACAGUUUCUAACAUUAAUAACGCGAAUAUCGAAUAUCAAAUAUAAUUCUAACAAAUAAAAAUAAUUAAAGAUAGUCGAAGACAAUCCAGGAAAAAAGACGAAAUUCAAAAAAUCAAUUGCACCUUAUGAAAAAAAAACAAAAACAAAAAAAAACAAAAGCAAAACAAAAGAAGAAGAAAUAAUCGUAUAACGAACUAUUGAUGAAAAUAUCCAUCGAAAUAUUUAUCGAAAAACAUUUAUCAUCGAUACAUCAUCUAUCAAAAUAUCUACGAACAAAAAUGAUGGAAAAGAUAGAAAAGAAAAAUAUUUAUCGAAGUAUCUGCAAAACAAAUGAAAGAAAUAAAACCCCAAAUAAGAUAAAAAACACAAAUAUCUAAUAAAAUUUCAACGUAGAAAUAAGAAAUGAUAGUUGAAAAAUACUGAACAAAAAUCAACGCUGCACUCGUAGAAGAAAAGUAACACAAAACGCAACCAAAAA
RNAcentral lists this long non-coding RNA (1702 nucleotides) under Polistes fuscatus (common paper wasp). RNAcentral describes it as "uncharacterized LOC122524860". Lineage: Eukaryota; Metazoa; Arthropoda; Insecta; Hymenoptera; Vespidae. The record is from RNAcentral.